AGUAGGAAAUUUUCUUCAGCGUGACACCUACCAACCCUCUUCAGUUUUCGGAACCCGCUAAUUAGAACGUGACCGCAGAGUGAUAACUGGUUUGUAGCAGCCAAGAGUUCAUAGCGACGUUGCUUUUUGAUCCUUCGAUGUUGGCUCUUCCUAUCAUACUGAAGCAGAAUUCAGUAAGUUUUGGAUUGUUCGUCCACUAAUAGAGAACGUGAGCUGGGUUUAGACCGUCGUGAGACAUAUUAGUUUUACCCUACU
This 255-nucleotide non-coding RNA is filed under the name Linnemannia elongata AG-77. RNAcentral's name for it is "Mortierella elongata AG-77 Eukaryotic large subunit ribosomal RNA". It matches the Rfam family "Eukaryotic large subunit ribosomal RNA", at positions 2781 to 2998 of the family's 3401-position model. Lineage: Eukaryota; Fungi; Mortierellomycota; Mortierellomycetes; Mortierellales; Mortierellaceae. The record is from Rfam by way of RNAcentral.